AAGGCUUUCUGGCUUCCCUCGGCUGUGCGGGUAAUCUGCGGAGCGAGGUGAGUGCGAGGGUGUAGCCUUUGGGCUUCGAUGCCUUCCAGGCCCCUCUGAUGGGGCGCAAUCCUCGCGUACACUCUACCCUGCACCCUUCUCUCGGAGUCAGCUUGGGGAGAGCCUGAAGCAGUGCCCAGACCACUUGGCAGGUGACCUCCAGGCUGAGAACCGCUGCUCUAGAGCAAUAUGGAAAGAUUUCCUGUGUGCAGUAUCCUCCAUGAAAUGAUCAGGCUGCUGAACUGAACAGAAACUUCAGGUCUGUGCCACGGACUUCAUCUGCUAACGAACUGGCGUAUCCGCACUGCCGUGGAACGUCUGCAGUGUUGGAGCAGCACUGUUACAGCAGUAAAAACUAUUCGGCUUUCUGUAGGGACUGGGUAAAUAAAUCCUGGUGUGUUCUUGUGAUGAAACUUCACAUACUUCAUAGGAAGAAUGGAGGGCAGCAAUGUUACCACUGUGAAAUCCUCCUUGAGAAGUACUUUAAGUGAGAAUGAGAAAUUUGUAUGCAACAUAUUCCUACUGGGUUUAAAAACUAAGACUCCUGGGGAAGACUACAAACUAUUGUACAACUGGUGCCCAUUUCUCGAAGUGACACUUCUGAAGCACCAAGCGUUGGCUCAGAUCAGUGAACCCCUUGACUUCUGGUCUGUUACUUAGAUUCUAAUAGUUUACAUAUUUCAAUUUUUGCUUAUAAUUACACAAAUUACUAUCGCAGAUGAGAGAGAAACGAUCCUAGAUUGAUUGCGUUUCACUCCAGGCUCAGGCAAGUUGUAAGGCUUCCUUAAUUGUCAUCUAAACACACUUUUAAUUGUGACUUAACUCCGGAAAAUAAGAUUCUUUGGAAUUGGAGAAAUUCCCUUGAUUUAUGCAUAGAGUUUUCAUGUGCCCUUUGAAAUGCCUUAUUCAAAUUAGUAAGUAAUCAAAUUGCCAAGUUAUGUUUAUAUAACUUGUAGUUCUAAUUAGUUUAGGAUGUAGCUCAUUUGUGUGAUGCCACUGUACAAGCCAAAAGUAGUGUUGUAAUUUUUAAUUAAAUGGUUGCCUCAGA
RNAcentral lists this long non-coding RNA (1087 nucleotides) under Mus musculus (house mouse). RNAcentral's name for it is "predicted gene, 58631". The record is from RNAcentral. Lineage: Eukaryota; Metazoa; Chordata; Mammalia; Rodentia; Muridae.